Molecule: ribosomal RNA, 545 nt
Filed under: Salmonella enterica
Lineage: Bacteria; Pseudomonadati; Pseudomonadota; Gammaproteobacteria; Enterobacterales; Enterobacteriaceae
Also listed under: 2 other names
Description: partial 23S ribosomal RNA
Rfam family: Bacterial large subunit ribosomal RNA
Source: RNAcentral
AGACCCGAAACCCGGUGAUCUAGCCAUGGGCAGGUUGAAGGUUGGGUAACACUAACUGGAGGACCGAACCGACUAAUGUUGAAAAAUUAGCGGAUGACCUGUGGCUGGGGGUGAAAGGCCAAUCAAACCGGGAGAUAGCUGGUUCUCCCCGAAAGCUAUUUAGGUAGCGCCUCGUGAAUUCAUCUCCGGGGGUAGAGCACUGUUUCGGCUAGGGGGCCAUCCCGGCUUACCAACCCGAUGCAAACUGCGAAUACCGGAGAAUGUUAUCACGGGAGACACACGGCGGGUGCUAACGUCCGUCGUGAAGAGGGAAACAACCCAGACCGCCAGCUAAGGUCCCAAAGUCAUGGUUAAGUGGGAAACGAUGUGGGAAGGCCCAGACAGCCAGGAUGUUGGCUUAGAAGCAGCCAUCAUUUAAAGAAAGCGUAAUAGCUCACUGGUCGAGUCGGCCUGCGCGGAAGAUGUAACGGGGCUAAACCAUGCACCGAAGCUGCGGCAGCGACGCUGAUGCGUUGUUGGGUAGGGGAGCGUUCUGUAAGCCUGCG